GAUGAACGCUGGCGGCGUGCCUAAUACAUGCGAGUCGAGCGAACAGACGAGGAGCUUGCUCCUCUGACGUUAGCGGCGGACGGGUGAGUAACACGUGGAUAACCUACCUAUAAGACUGGGAUAACUUCGGGAAACCGGAGCUAAUACCGGAUAAUAUAUUGAACCGCAUGGUUCAAUAGUGAAAGACGGUUUUGCUGUCACUUAUAGAUGGAUCCGCGCCGCAUUAGCUAGUUGGUAAGGUAACGGCUUACCAAGGCAACGAUGCGUAGCCGACCUGAGAGGGUGAUCGGCCACACUGGAACGGAGACACGGUCCAGACUCCUACGGGAGGCAGCAGUAGGGAAUCUUCCGCAAUGGGCGAAAGCCUGACGGAGCAACGCCGCGUGAGUGAUGAAGGUCUUCGGAUCGUAAAACUCUGUUAUUAGGGAAGAACAAAUGUGUAAGUAACUAUGCACGUCUUGACGGUACCUAAUCAGAAAGCCACGGCUAACUACGUG
RNAcentral lists this ribosomal RNA (497 nucleotides) under uncultured bacterium. RNAcentral's name for it is "partial 16S ribosomal RNA". It matches the Rfam family "Bacterial small subunit ribosomal RNA", at positions 28 to 507 of the family's 1533-position model. The record is from RNAcentral.